RNAcentral lists this long non-coding RNA (8479 nucleotides) under Triticum aestivum (bread wheat). RNAcentral describes it as "long non-coding RNA (TAES_LNC018032)". The record is from RNAcentral. Lineage: Eukaryota; Viridiplantae; Streptophyta; Magnoliopsida; Poales; Poaceae.
UUCGGGUUGUGCCAAAUAAUGCGUAGAUAAUUAUGGUGGAGAACCACACUUUUAUAAAAUGUUCAAAUAUUCAAAUGGUAAUAAAACAGUAGCAAAACUAUUAUUUAAAUACUUUAAAUACUCAACAAUUACCAAAUAUUUUAUUUUAGGUGCCAAGUUAAUUGUGGCAGUGGACUAAUUAGUAAUACUAAUUUAGGUGCUCAUUUGGCAUUUUACAAAACUAAAAUAAAAUGUAACUAAAAGAAAACAGUAAAGAAAUAAAAGAAAAAUAGAAAAGGAAAAGCAAAUCAAGAGAAAACAAAAAAAGGGAAUAGGCCUCGGCCCACCCGACCAGGCCCAGCCCAUCUUCCUCCCCGGUCGUCUUCUCUGUUCACCCGACCCCGUGCGCGCCCAAGUCGCGUCCCCGCCGAACCCACCUCGCCGUCGGCGCCUCGGUGGAUAAGGACUCCACCUCCCUGGUGCCUCGGGCUCUCUCCCCGCUCGCCCACUUGCCCCCUCUCGCUCGCCUCUGCGCCUCCCCUCAUCCGAGAUCCACCUCUCCCCUCUCCUCUCGCUCGAUCCCGAGCGCGCCCGUCGCCAUGGCCCCGUCCUAGCCGCAGCCACCGUCGCCACCUCGCCUCGUCCCCAUGACAAAUCGGUUCUCCGGCCCUCGCUACUUCCUCCCCGACCACCUGCUCGAGCCGGGACCCCCUACAUCACCCCCAACGCCGUCGCCUUCUUCCUCGGGUCGCCGCCGUCUUCUUCGACUCCGGCGACUGCUGCUGCUACUAAGCCUCUCACCGGCCUCCGUGUGCCGCGCGGUGAGCUCCUCUACCUCCUACCCUUCUCCGUUUGCUCUCGCGCGAACCCUAGCUAGCUCUCACAACGAGGCCGAAUGCAUCGCCGUGGAGCUCGUCGCCGACGCGUCUCCGGUGAUGGUUUGGUCACGGGCUCGUACCCAUUGGACUCGCCGCACCACGUAGAUCCUCCCCGGCCUCCUCUUUUGCUCAAUAGCGUGCUGCCUCGCCGUUUCCGUCUUCGGCCGAAGCCGCUCCGCCGCUGGCCUCGACGCCGGUGCCGAUUCCAGCAGACUCCGGCGACGCCACCACCGCUGUUCGACGCGCGUUGGUCCGCUCGUUCGAACGCGCCCUCGCGCGCGCGAAACGGUUGCUCGUAGGCGAAAUCCGACGAGGUCCGAAGCCCUCCGCCGUGUUUGGCGUCACCGGCGACGUGCCGCCGGCCGCCGCUGACAUGGCACACCUGGGGCCACCCCGGGGUCACUGCCAGCGGGCCCCGCGGGCCCCGUUGACUGGGUUGACCCAGUCAACGUGCUGACUGGGCGUCUCUGUGACGCUGACAUGUGGGCCCCGCCGCUUAAUCUUCUAAUUAAACGUUUUAUUAAUUAAAACUAAUUAGUUUAGUUAAUUAGUCCAUGACAAGCGUGACCUACCUGCUAAAUAACUCUGUUUAGUUAGUUUUAAAACUCUGUUAACUCUCUGUCUAUGACAUGUGGGCCCCGCUGGACCCACAUGUCAGUUUUGACCCUGGUCAGCGAGUCUGUUGACUGCUGACGUCAUCCCCACGCAAUGCCGACGUCAUAUUCCUUUUCUGUUAAUAUUAAUAAUUCCAGAAAAUACUUCAAUCUUUAAAAAUUCAUAGAAAAUAAACCGUAACUCGGAUGGAAAUGUUUUCUACAUGAAAGUUGCUCAGAAAAAUCCAACGAAUCCGAAUACGGGGUCCGUUCAUUUGCCACAUGCCUCUAGCAUGCUGAACAUGGAACUUUCCCCCUCCGGUCAUCUGUCUGGCACAGGUCCGGAACCGGCAACCCCUUCCCGGUUGAAUUCCCCCUUCACCUAUAUCGUGUAGCCAUACGUUAGGUCACACCUGGCAUAUCAUAUUGCCACGUUAUGCUUUGUGAAGCUAUGUUUGCUUUAUAUUUACUGUUUCUUCCCCCUCUUCUCUCCGAUAGACCCCGAGACCGAUGUUGCCCCUAUGAUCGACUACGUCGACGACGACCCCCUCCUUGCCAGAGCAACCAGGCAAUCCCCCUCUUGAUCACCAGAUAUCGCCUAUUCUUCUCUACACUGCUUGCAUUAGAGUAGUGUAGCAUGUUACUGCUUUCGGUUAAUCCUAUUCUGCUGCAUAGCCUGUCAGUGUUGCUACAGUUGUUACCCUUACCUGUUAUCCUACUGCUUAGUAUAGGAUUCUAGUGUUCCAUCAGUGGCCCUACACUCUUGUCCGUUUGCCUUGCUAUACUACUGGGCCGUGAUCACUUCGGGAGGUGAUCACGGGUAUAUACUAUACACAUUAUAUACAUGACACAUGUGGUGACUAAAGUCGGGUCGGCUCGAGGGGUACCCGCAAGUGAUUCUGAUGAGGGGGCUGAAAGGACAGGUGGCUCCACCCCGGUAGAGGUGGGCCUGGGUUCUUGAUGGCCCCCGACUGUUACAUUAUGGUGGAGCGACAGGGCAGGUUGAGACCACCUAGGAGAGAGGUGGGCCUGGCCCUGGUCGGCGUUCGCGGAUAAAUAACACGCUUAACGAGUUCUGGGUAUUUGAUCUGAGUCUGGCCAUUUGGUCUAUACGCACUAACCAUCUACGCGGGAGUAGUUAUGGGUAUCCCGACGUCGUGGUAUCAGCCGAAGCACUUCUUGACGUCAGCAACUGAGUGGCGCGCGCCGCAUUGGACCGUAAGCUCGCGCUUGUAUUAAGGGGGCUAGGUCUGCUUCCGGCCGCGUACGCAACGUGCAGGUGUGCAUAGGGCGAUGGGCCCAGAACCGUACGCGCAUAGGGUUAGACCGGUGUGCUGACCUCUCUGUUGUGCUUAGGUGGGGCUGCGACGUGUUGAUCUUCCGCGGCCGGGCAUGACCCAGAAAAGUGUGUCCGGCCAAAUGGGAUCGAGCGUGUUGGGUUAUGUGGUGCACCCCUGCAGGGAAGUUUAUCUAUUCGAAUAGCCAUGUCCCUCGAUAAAAGGACGACCCGGAGUUGUACCUUGACCUUAUGACAACUAGAACCGGAUACUGAAUAAAAUACACCCUUCCAAGUGCCAGAUACAACCCGGUGAUCGCUCUCUAAUAGCGUGACGAGGAGGGGAUCGCCGGGUAGGAUUAUGCUAUACGAUGCUACUUGGAGGACUUCAAUCUACUCUCUUCUACAUGCUGCAAGAUGGAGGCUGCCAGAAGCGUAGUCUUCGACAGGACUAGCUAUCCCCCUCUUAUUCUGGCAUUCUGCAGUUCAGGCCACUGAUAUGCCCCUUUACACAUAUACCCAUGCAUAUUUAGUGUAGCUCCUUGCUUGCGAGUACUUUGGAUGAGUACUCACGGUUGCUUCUCUCCCUCUUUUCCCCCUUUCCUUCUACCUGGUUGUCGCUACCAGAUGCUGGAGUCCAGGAGCUAGAGAUCUCGAGGAUGAUUCUACAUGGCGUUCGGCUUCUAGGAGUAGUUAGGAGGUCCCAGGCAGGAGGCCUUGCCUUUUCGAUCGUUGCUACUUUUGUGCUAGCCUUCUUAAGGCAAACUUGUUUAACUUAUGUCUGUACUCAAAUAUUGUUUCUUCCGCUGACUCGUCUAUGAUCGAGCACUUGUAUUCGAGCCCUCGUGGCCCCUGGCUUGUAUUAUGAUGCUUGUAUGACUUAUUUAUGUUUUAGAGUUGUGUUGUGAUAUCUUCCCGUGAGUCCCUGAUCUUGAUCGUACACAUUUGGGUGCAUGAUUAGUGUACGGUCAAAUCGGGGGCGUCACAAGUUGGUAUCAGAGCCGACUGCCUGUAGGAAUCCCCCUUCCACACUCCUUGGCCGAAGUGGAGUCUAGUCAGUGAAAACUGUUUUACUAACAUGGCUGUGUGGCUUACGGGCCCACGUCGCCAUUGGGUGGUCUUAGGAUCUUUUACUCCUUGCCUAUACUCUGGGACUCUGAUCUCUCUUCUAUUCGGGUUAAGUGAAUUUUACUAAAUCUAACAUUAGGAUCUCGUUAUCACUUUCACCCGGAGAGCCCCUUAUUACUGAUGAUCGUCUGCUGCACGUGAAGACCCUGAAGAUACUCUCUGCUGAUAACCCGAGGACUUGUGUUCAUCGCUUUUGCAAUUCCCUUUCAUCGAUAAACUCCUAUGGAUAACCACGUAUACUCGCCAUUCAUACAAUGUUUCCCAGUUGAUCUUGUUAUUACAAGAUACCCCGAAAUUCUCUCUGUUGUUCCGAGAAUCCUUUGAGCUUACUGCCUUGCUGUUCUUUGUCACCUGAAUACCCCUACGGAUAAUUCUCGCACUUACCGAGUAUCCGGUCAUCCCCAGUUGAUUCAAGUAUUCCACAAUAGUCUUCAAAAUACUAUUCGAUCUUUCGAAAAUCCUCAGGAGCCUAUUACUCUUGAAAUUCUUGUUUGCUUGCAUUAUGAUUAAUCCCAUAAGUCUCAUAAUCUUAUUGGCAUCUCUUGUCAUUAUCAUUUUGAGUCCGUUGAUUCAAUUUGUUGCGAAUGCUCGCAAUCCUCAAUCAUAUCCUAGAAUUCAUUCUUCCGGCUCAGACGUCAUUUUAAACGUGAGCUGGAUCUCGACCUAUCAAAUUGCCAUCGAUUGUACCCCUAAGCCUACUCAACUUAUCCAUCCUUGAUCAGAGCGUUGCUUCUGACCCCAUGAUUUGGAAAUCAUAAUUCUUUUGCAUUUCUACUUUGAGUUAGUCAGUUGUUUCUAUAAUCAUAUCUCCUUGCAUUCUUCUUCCUCUGGUUGAGUACCGAUGCUCACAUCAGAUCCCUAGUGGACCAUCGGUUCCUUUGUUGGAUUUUAUCCGACAGUGUCCUUCAUAUUGAAUAACCUUGUGAGCCUUUCCAUGGGUAUAUAAUGCCUUUAGUAAAUUGUAUCCUCUCGUUUUGACACCCAUGCUCUACUAUCGAGCUUGAGGUAUUUACUAUUGAAGCUUGUGGUAUAUGUUUCCACGAUACCCUGACAGGUUGAACCUAUGCCUUCCUUAAUAUGUGUGAACUCAAAGGUUUUUGAUGAGUCAUACUCUUCUGGUAUUUUGCUAGGUAAAAUUUCAACACUACAACUUCUUUGAAAGUGAGAGGUGAAUGGAAGGUUAUACAUUGAAGAAGUGGGAUUCGACCUUGAACUUUGUGUUCAUGCCCAUGGACACGAUGUAGAUCUUAUCAUUAAAAGCUUCUCUUAAAAUAAUUAUUCCCUUGGUAUAAGUUUAUCUUAUAUCUGGGAUCUGGCCUUUUGCAAUCGUGGUUCCGACCAUGUUGUCCUUUAAACACCAUUUCUCGUACAAGUUAGGCACUUGUCUUGUAGAGCAAUACCCCAGUCCAACCUCUACUUUGGUUUGUCGUCGAGUAUUACCCCCCUGGUAUCUCGAGAUUAUCACGGAACUGCAUAACUUCUUAUGAGUUCUCCAUCAAGUAGUACAUUCUCAUUGAUUCCAAUUUUUCACGGGCUCCGAGUUAUUAAACACUCAAGGACAUCGAUAACUGAAUCGAGUCCGCAUCACGAUUAAACAACUCUUAGUAAUCUCCUUUGUUUACGAGUUCGUACUCGAUCACGUCAUCCCUAGCCUGCUCGGCUAUGUCAUUAUCGUGCCGAUUUUAACUGUGCUACCUGGUCUUUAUUCCCGGAGCACCACUUUUGACGCUGAGCUAAGCUUACGUCGAUUUUCCUCGUCAUAUCAUUUCGCCUUGAACAGCAAGCUUGAUUUAGAGUUUGUGUCGUACCCCUGGUUCCAAUAAAUUUUCGCUUCAUCAUUCCUUGGACUUGAUGUCAUCGCCGAUCGAUUACCUCUUCAUAAAUUCUUGCUACAAAUGUGUCGUGAACAUCAUCAACAUUCUGAGCUCUUCCAAGAUAUCUAUCGAAUUCUGGAUGAGAAAUAUCAUCCUUGCCCUCAAUGAUUUGUUUUAUCAUCGACCAUUUUAUUGCCUUCCAUUCAACACAAACUUGUUCGUGUUUUGUGUUGUACCUUGAUUUCCUUGCUAUCUAGCUUAUGAUAUGUUCUACCUUGGAGUAUUACCAUCUUUUAUGUCAAGUAUGUCGUAAGAAUUUCACCACCUCGUAUGACAUCUUGGUACAGUGAUACUUCUCCCCAUCACCAUUCUUUCUUGGUCCCGUGUUGUUUCUAAAAGGAAUACCGACCAAUGGUCUGUGAUGUGUAAAUUCUAAACUUCUAGCAACCCUAUUGCUUUGAAGUUAUUGGUCUAUAGUUUCAUUCUACGUCUAUGGCUUAAUGAAUCAUCAUUCGAACAUUGAUUGUGCUACCUAGCCCAUAUUUCGGGUGCACAUUUCAACCAAUGUUUAACUGUGUAUGUUUUCCUCGAGCAUACAUCAUUAAGUCAAUCGAUCUAGCUAAUGUUAUCUCCUUGUUCACAUAGUGGUGGAAAUCCAUCUUUUGGAAAUCUCAAUGGAUUGUCACUGAGUCAAUCAGUCACCUCCUCACCUCUCCUUGAUGUAAUGGUGAACCCAUGUCCGGAACUCGCUUCCAUAGUUCAUCUCCCGAGAAUCUUCGAUGUCGUUUCAACAAUUUGUGUUGCACCUUUCUUCUCAGGCAUCCUGAGUCUGAGUUAUCCUGACACCAAUCAGAUCUGAAUCUCGGUCAGAUAUGAUGGUUGGAACAUAUUUCCAAGAGUUAUAACAUUGGCCUAUUUAUGACCCGGUAAGGUGAUGAUACCCAGCACACCUGGCGGGAGGACCUAUUGUUAUAAGUUUCCCCUUUUAGCAAGGUUAGCUGUUCUUCCAUGAGGAAAUUGUAAGACUUAUUCUAUAAGUUGUUCCUGAUGGAUCCUUUUUGUUUCCAAAUUCUGAUCUUCACCUGUUGACCAUGUCAAUGCUAUCUCGAAGCAUGUCUAUGGUACUCCGAUUUUCAACAGGAACAUUUGAAGCCCAAUGCUGAAUGUUUCCUGCUCAAUUAUCCAAACAACGUUGUAUGGGUAAUGUCAUGAAAUUUCUCUCCCGUACCUAAGGAGUUUUCUACAUUAUAUCAUGUCAUGGAUAUCAUGCUCUGCUUGUCCUUGGGAAGGAUAUACCCUUGAAAUAUGUGUUUAAACACAUUUUCCUUUCCAUUCUUCUGUUUAAUCUGAUAAUCAUAUUUUCCUUUCCAUUGUUUGGUUUAACCUUUCUGGUGAUCUAUAUGAUCUAAGCAGUAAUAUUCUCCUGCUUAUGUAAACACCUCGGUGUACAACUCUGUCAGUAAGACCCUGUUACUAUUGUUGGUGACAUUCCGGUAACCAUCGAUGGACGAGAACUUUGCCUAUUGGUCUGCCUCGUUUCAACGAGCAGGAAAAUGGUUCUCUUCGUCCCUCGCCCUUGGUACCGACGAUGUUGCUGACAUAUAACUGACAGGCUAGCCUCUGACAUUCCUUGCUAUCAUGAUCGUGCAAGAUGUCACCGUCCUUCCUACUUUAACCACAUGGUGGGCCCAUAACCCACAGUUCCACAGGAUCAAAACCUGACUCUCCUAUGCACCCCCUAUUCCCAAAUUAAUUCAUCGCGCGUGGCCUCGUAUGUAAUUCACGAGCCACCUUCAAGUCUGAUAUCAGACGCAAUACUUAUUCCCGUUGCUUUGAACCCCUUUCACGCCCUGUUACAGGCAUCGAACGAUUGCCUACCCGCUCGAAACUUCCCAGGAUACUUCCUUACUUUGCUCUCGAUAUUUCCGUAAGUUUCAAUUCGAGAAUUACUUUCUGCCACCUUCCCCGAUGUUAGCUACCAGAUAGUCAACCUUGCAGAGGUCCAUUCUCCUAGAAUAUACCCACCCUUUAUUCUUUCGUAAGUACGAUGGAGUUCCCGAAGAAAGGACGACAACUUCAUCAUGGUGACCUGAAACAGCAGAAUGAAGACAUCAAUGUAAUGGAUCAACCUCUUCGAGAAGAACAACCAAGACCAAGAACACUCCCUAGAAUUUCGUAACCCGAACCUUCCCCCUUUACUUCCCUCUUAAAUCUCGGGACGAGAUUUCUUGUAGUGGAGGAGAAUUGUGACGCCCGGAUAAUUAGACUACAGUAAUUCCCUGCUAUUGAUGCCACGUCACCUCUGACACUGUAGUUAAUCCCUUUCGUUAGUUCAAAAACCAAUUCAAAUUCAAAAUUGAAUAAAAGGCAAACAACAAAAGUUUUCAAACUUUAAAACUAAAAUGUUCGGGUUGUGCCAAAUAAUGCGUAGAUAAUUAUGGUGGAGAACCACACUUUUAUAAAAUGUUCAAAUAUUCAAAUGGUAAUAAAACAGUAGCAAAACUAUUAUUUAAAUACUUUAAAUACUCAACAAUUACCAAAUAUUUUAUUUUAGGUGCCAAGUUAAUUGUGGCAGUGGACUAAUUAGUAAUACUAAUUUAGGUGCUCAUUUGGCAUUUUACAAAACUAAAAUAAAAUGUAACUAAAAGAAAACAGUAAAGAAAUAAAAGAAAAAUAGAAAAGGAAAAGCAAAUCAAGAGAAAACAAAAAAAAGGGAAUAGGCCUCGGCCCACCCGACCAGGCCCAGCCCAUCUUCCUCCCCGGUCGUCUUCUCUGUUCACCCGACCCCGUGCGCGCCCAAGUCGCGUCCCC